Molecule: non-coding RNA, 78 nt
Organism: Zea mays
Lineage: Eukaryota; Viridiplantae; Streptophyta; Magnoliopsida; Poales; Poaceae
Source: Rfam
UUGCCUAUGAUGACUUGCUUGUUGCCUACAUUGUCUGAUUAUUAUCUCUAUGAUAAUAGUCCCACGAUCUGAGGCUAA